AUGUAAGCCAAGACUGCUGCGCAAAUGCGACGUGCUCGGGAAGCAUGGUGUUUUCGAGGUUCAUCCACAUUGUGGUAUGUAUCAGUGCUUCGUACCUUUUUACGGCCCCCCGGUACAUAGUUGUAUAUUCUUCGUUGUGAGUCCUUCUAGUUGUGGCAUGUGGGACGCCGCCUCAGCGUGGUUUGAUGAGCAGUGCCAUGUCCGCGCCCAGGAUUCGAACCAACGAAACACUGGGCCGCCUGCAGCGGAGCGCGCGAACUCAACCACUCGGCCACGGGGCCAGCCCCUUACUUUCGCAUCUUUAACAUAAAAGAAAAUAUCAGCCAACCUUUAUGUUGAAUUUGUCAAUUGCAGCCAUAGGUUAGCUAGGAUAUAAGAGUUUGGCAAAAACCAACAGAAGCAUUCUGUGAGAAUCAAUUGGCUCUAUGGAAUUUACAAUAAAGAUUAAUGCAUAUUUUAUUAUUUUUAAAUUGUAAAUUACUCAUCCUUUAUAUCAGUA
Molecule: long non-coding RNA, 499 nt
Filed under: Equus asinus (donkey)
Lineage: Eukaryota; Metazoa; Chordata; Mammalia; Perissodactyla; Equidae
Description: lncRNA (ENSEASG00005037368.1)
Source: RNAcentral